Molecule: ribosomal RNA, 497 nt
Filed under: uncultured bacterium
Lineage: Bacteria
Description: partial 16S ribosomal RNA
Rfam family: Bacterial small subunit ribosomal RNA
Source: RNAcentral
GAUGAACGCUGGCGGCGUGCCUAAUACAUGCAAGUCGAGCGAACGGACGAGAAGCUUGCUUCUCUGAUGUUAGCGGCGGACGGGUGAGUAACACGUGGAUAACCUACCUAUAAGACUGGGAUAACUUCGGGAAACCGGAGCUAAUACCGGAUAAUAUUUUGAACCGCAUGGUUCAAAAGUGAAAGACGGUCUUGCUGUCACUUAUAGAUGGAUCCGCGCUGCAUUAGCUAGUUGGUAAGGUAACGGCUUACCAAGGCAACGAUGCAUAGCCGACCUGAGAGGGUGAGCGGAAAAAAAGGAAAUGAGACAAGGUGCAGAAGACUAUGGGAGGCAGCAGUAGGGAAACUUCCGAAAUGGGCGAAAGCGUGACGGAGAAACGAAGAGUGAGUGAUGAAGGUCUUCGAAUCGUAAAAAUCUGUUAUAAGGGAAGAACAAAUGCGUAAGUAACUAUGCACGUCUGGACGGUAGAUAAGCAGAAAAACAGGGAUAAGAAAGUG